RNAcentral lists this ribosomal RNA (497 nucleotides) under uncultured bacterium. RNAcentral describes it as "partial 16S ribosomal RNA". It matches the Rfam family "Bacterial small subunit ribosomal RNA", at positions 28 to 507 of the family's 1533-position model. The record is from RNAcentral.
GAUGAACGCUGGCGGCGUGCCUAAUACAUGCAAGUCGAGCGAACGGACGAGGAGCUUGCUUCUCUGAUGUUAGCGGCGGACGGGUGAGUAACACGUGGAUAACCUACCUAUAAGACUGGGAUAACUUCGGGAAACCGGAGCUAAUACCGGAUAAUAUUUUGAACCGCAUGGUUCAAAAGUAAAAGACGGUCUUGCUGUCACUUAUAGAUGGAUCCGCGCUGCAUUAGCUAGUUGGUAAGGUAACGGCUUACCAAGGCAACGAUGCAUAGCCGACCUGAGAGGGUGAUCGGCCACACUGGAACUGAGACACGGUCCAGACUCCUACGGGAGGCAGCAGUAGGGAAUCUUCCGCAAUGGGCGAAAGCCUGGCGGAGCAACGCCGCGUGAGUGAUGAAGGUCUUCGGAUCGUAAAACUCUGUUAUUAGGGAAGAACAUAUGUGUAAGUAACUGUGCACAUCUUGACGGUACCUAAUCAGAAAGCCACGGCUAACUACGUG